GAUGAAGAACGUAGCGAAAUGCGAUAAGUAAUGUGAAUUGCAGAAUUCCGUGAAUCAUCGAAUCUUUGAACGCACAUUGCGCCCUCUGGUAUUCCGGGGGGCAUGCCUGUCCGAGCGUCAUUUCAACCCUCGAACCCCUCCGGGGGGUCGGCGUUGGGGAUCGGCCCUUUACCGGCCGGCCCCGAAAUACAGUGGCGGUCUCGCCGCAGCCUCUCCUGCGCAGUAGUUUGCACACUCGCACCGGGAGCGCGGCGCAGUCCAAUGCCGUAAAACACCCAACUUUCUGAAAUGUUGACCUCGGAUCAGGUAGGAAUACCCGCUGAACUUAAGCAUAUCAAUAAGCGGAGGA
RNAcentral lists this unclassified non-coding RNA (349 nucleotides) under soil metagenome. RNAcentral describes it as "partial contains 5.8S ribosomal RNA, internal transcribed spacer 2, and large subunit ribosomal RNA". The stretch from base 1 to 120 matches the Rfam family "5.8S ribosomal RNA", at positions 35 to 154 of the family's 154-position model. The record is from RNAcentral.